AGAAAAAACUUAGAGUAAAACAGGGCUGCUAACUUUGUUUUGGGUGGUUCGCCCCAUCCUUUUUCUU
RNAcentral lists this transfer RNA (67 nucleotides) under Littoraria intermedia. Its description in RNAcentral is "tRNA-Ser". The record is from RNAcentral. Lineage: Eukaryota; Metazoa; Mollusca; Gastropoda; Littorinimorpha; Littorinidae. RNAcentral also lists the same sequence under 1 other name.